This 460-nucleotide ribosomal RNA is filed under the name uncultured bacterium. RNAcentral's name for it is "partial 16S ribosomal RNA". It matches the Rfam family "Bacterial small subunit ribosomal RNA", at positions 338 to 795 of the family's 1533-position model. The record is from RNAcentral.
CCUACGGGGGGCAGCAGUGAGGAAUAUUGGUCAAUGGCCGGAAGGCUGAACCAGCCAUGCCGCGUGAAGGUCAGUGCCCUAUGGGCGUUAAACUUCUUUUGUGCGGGAGCAAUAAUGGUCACGUGUGGCCAGACGAGAGUACCGUACGAAUAAGCAUUGGCUAACUCCGUGCCAGCAGCCGCGGUAAUACGGGGGAUGCAAGCGUUAUCCGGAUUUAUUGGGUUUAAAGGGUGCGUAGGCUGUGAGGUAAGUCAGCGGUGAAAUGCCCCCGCUCAACGGGGUGAAGUGCCAUUGAUACUGCCUGGCUGGAAUGCGGAUGCCGUGGGAGGAAUGUGUGGUGUAGCGGUGAAAUGCAUAGAUAUCACACAGAACACCGAUUGCGAAGGCAUCUCACGAAUCCGCGAUUGACGCUGAUGCACGAAAGCGUGGGUAUCAAACAGGAUUAGAUACCCGUGUAGUC